CAGGUACAUGAAAUUCCUACACAAAAUUGUUCACGUUACUUCACAGCUGUUGAACCAUUUUAGUGCUAGAGAUAAACCCAUAUUUUUCUCAAAAGAACCAGUUAAGACUUAUCUUUCCAAGCCAAAAGAGAAGUGGGAACUGAGCUAGGGCGAUGAAGAGGAGGAGGUAAUGAUGCCGGCUUGAAUCAUACGUUCUCACCUCUGCAAAAAGAACUCUCUUCAUUGUCUUCACUAAGAAUAUUCCCAUGCAUAAGCUUGUCCAUGGCAUCAAGAAGUAGUAUGAAUGGCUCCAUAUAAUUGUUCCAAGUAGAGCUAUGGACAAUCCUGCAAAAGCAUAUCCAGCGUAUGACACAAUGUCAAGGAGAGGAGCCUCUCCACUACCCAGUGAGAACAAUGUCAUCUUCAGCAAGGAAACCUCUAAAAACCAACCAACUAGCCCCUUGAUGAAUAGCCAAUUUAGAGCUUCAGGGGUAAACCUUCCCUGGAGACCCAAUGAUAAACCGGCAAGAACAACGUAGGUACCAAAUGCCAUGAAUGGGAUGUACAAAUCUGGAGCAUUUAUAUCAAAGAUAGGGGGCUUAUAGGAUAGCCUACCACCUACCGGCUCUGUGAUUCUUGUCCAAUGACCUCUGUGUAGGAAUGGGAAAAGCACAACUUUCAAUUUGUUUCUCACGUACUGGUCAUUCACUUGGAAAUAGUACUGGGGAUCGGAAAAAUACCUACUUAUAUUGCUUUGAACAUAUUCAGAACUGGAACCAAGGAUUUUUUCUCCAUAAGCCCCUAGUCCACUUCUGAUGAACCCUGAGCUACCACCAGAGAAGGCAUUUCCAAAAGGAUUUGCCUGUGUAUUAACAGGCGGUCUUGGCACCCCGGAUUGUGCUCCCAGGUUAUCAUACAUUUCUGCAGGAGGAUUUUUCAAGAAAAUGCAAAAAAAAGUGCGACGAAAUACAGAUCCUCUUGUGUUGACUGUUGAUGAAG
This 978-nucleotide unclassified non-coding RNA is filed under the name Hevea brasiliensis (rubber tree). Lineage: Eukaryota; Viridiplantae; Streptophyta; Magnoliopsida; Malpighiales; Euphorbiaceae. The record is from RNAcentral.